GUGAAUUUGGUGGAUUUUGGGGGGAUUUUGGGGGAUUUUGGGGUGAAUUUGGGGGAUUUUGGGGAGAUUUUGGGGGAUUUUGGGGAGAUUUUGGGGAUUUUGGGGAGAUUUUGGGGGAUUUUGGGUGAAUUUUGGGGAUUUUGGCUCUCCCCCGCAGGCGCCUGGCGGGCGGUGCUGGAGCGGGUGCAGGAGGCGCGAGCGAGCGCCCGCCUCAGGCAGCUGAGCUUCGCAGGUGAGCCGAAAUCUCCCCAAAAUCACCCAAAAUCAGCCAAAAUCACCCAAAAUCAACCAAAAUCACCCCAAAAUCACCUAAAUCAGCCAAAAUUACCCCAAAAUCACCCCAAAAUCACCCCAAAAUCAACCAAAAUCAGCCAAAAUCAGCCAAAAUCACCCAAAAUCAGCCAAAAUCACCCAAAAUCACCCAAAAUCACCCAAAAUCAGCCAAAAUCACCCCAAAAUCAACCAAAAUCAGCCAAAAUCAGCCAAAAUCACCCCAAAAUCAGCCAAAUUUACCCAAAAUUACCCAAAAUCAGCCAAAAUCAACCAAAAUCAGCCAAAAUCUCCCAAAAUCACCCCAAAAUCAACCAAAAUCAACCAAAAUCAGCCAAAAUCACCCCAAAAUCACCCCAAAAUCAGCCAAAAUCACCCAAAAUCAGCCAAAAUCACCCCAAAAUCAGCCAAAAUCAGCCAAAAUCAACCAAAAUUACCCCAAAAUCAGCCAAAAUCACCCAAAAUCACCCCAAAAUCAGCCAAAAUUACCCAAAAUCAACCAAAGUCAGCCAAAAUCACCCCAAAAUCACCCCAAAAUCAGCCAAAAUCACCCCAAAAUCACCCCAAAAUCUCCCAAAAUCAGCCAAAAUCAGCCAAAAUCUCCCAAAAUCACCCAAAAAUCACCCAAAAAUCAGCCAAAAUCACCCCAAAAUCACCCAAAAUCACCCAAAAAUCACCCAAAAUCAGCCAAAAUCACCCAAAAUCACCCAAAAUCACCCAAAAAUUCCCCCAAA
Molecule: long non-coding RNA, 1004 nt
Filed under: Lonchura striata (white-rumped munia)
Lineage: Eukaryota; Metazoa; Chordata; Aves; Passeriformes; Estrildidae
Description: domestica (Bengalese finch) lncRNA (ENSLSDG00000001913.1)
Source: RNAcentral